RNAcentral lists this unclassified non-coding RNA (246 nucleotides) under plant metagenome. RNAcentral describes it as "partial contains small subunit ribosomal RNA, internal transcribed spacer 1, and 5.8S ribosomal RNA". The stretch from base 1 to 53 matches the Rfam family "Eukaryotic small subunit ribosomal RNA", at positions 1779 to 1831 of the family's 1831-position model. The record is from RNAcentral.
GGAGUAAAAGUCGUAACAAGGUCUCCGUUGGUGAACCAGCGGAGGGAUCAUUACAGGACUCGCAAGACUCCUACAACCCUGUGAACUUAACUAUAAGCACGUUGCUUCGGCGGGUGUCUCGGAGGGGGUUCUCCCUCCCCGAGAUGCUAAACCCGCCGGCAGCCUACUAUACUCUGUCUCUUUGCGUUGGCAUCUCGAGUACAAUCAAACAAGUUAAAACUUUCAACAACGGAUCUCUUGGUUCUG